Molecule: transfer RNA, 60 nt
Filed under: Ctenophorus spinodomus (Eastern Mallee dragon)
Lineage: Eukaryota; Metazoa; Chordata; Lepidosauria; Squamata; Agamidae
Description: tRNA-Ser
Source: RNAcentral
GAUGGGCUAAGUGGAGCUGCUAACUCUCGAGACUGGGCCUAGCCGCCCGGACCCAUCCAA